Molecule: ribosomal RNA, 491 nt
Filed under: uncultured bacterium
Lineage: Bacteria
Description: partial 16S ribosomal RNA
Rfam family: Bacterial small subunit ribosomal RNA
Source: RNAcentral
AGUGAACGCUGGCGGUAGGCCUAACACAUGCAAGUCGAACGGCAGCACAGUAAGAGCUUGCUCUUACGGGUGGCGAGUGGCGGACGGGUGAGGAAUACAUCGGAAUCUACUUUUUCGUGGGGGAUAACGUAGGGAAACUUACGCUAAUACCGCAUACGACCUACGGGUGAAAGCAGGGGAUCUUCGGACCUUGCGCGAUUGAAUGAGCCGAUGUCGGAUUAGCUAGUUGGCGGGGUAAAGGCCCACCAAGGCGACGAUCCGUAGCUGGUCUGAGAGGAUGAUCAGCCACACUGGAACUGAGACACGGUCCAGACUCCUACGGGAGGCAGCAGUGGGGAAUAUUGGACAAUGGGCGCAAGCCUGAUCCAGCCAUACCGCGUGGGUGAAGAAGGCCUUCGGGUUGUAAAGCCCUUUUGUUGGGAAAGAAAAGCAGCAGGUUAAUACCCCGCUGUCCUGACGGUACCCAAAGAAUAAGCAUCGGCUAACUUCGU